Molecule: ribosomal RNA, 453 nt
Filed under: uncultured bacterium
Lineage: Bacteria
Description: bacterial SSU rRNA
Rfam family: Bacterial small subunit ribosomal RNA
Source: RNAcentral
GCAGUCGCGAAUCUUUCGCAAUGGGCGAAAGCCUGACGAAGCGACGCCGUGUGAGCGAAGAAGGCCUUCGGGUUGUAAAGCUCUUUCGCUUGGGAACAAGAGAGGCUGGCAAAUAACCAGCCGAUUUGAGGGUACCAGGUAAAGAAGCACCGGCUAACUCCGUGCCAGCAGCUGCGGUAAUACGGAGGGUGCAAGCAUUAAUCGGAUUUAUUGGGCGUAAAGGGCGCGUAGGCGGGGAUGAAAGUCAGAUGUGAAAUCCCGGGGCUCAACCUCGGAACUGCAUUUGAUACUCCAUCUCUUGAGGAUAGGCGGAGAAAACGGAAUUCCACGUGUAGCGGUGAAAUGCGUAGAUAUGUGGAAGAACACCGGUGGCGAAAGCGGUUUUCUAGCUUAAACCUGACGCUGAGGCGCGAAAGCAAGGGGAUCAAACAGGAUUAGAUACCCCCGUAGUCC